RNAcentral lists this transfer RNA (98 nucleotides) under Egicoccus halophilus. Its description in RNAcentral is "tRNA-Trp". The record is from RNAcentral. Lineage: Bacteria; Bacillati; Actinomycetota; Nitriliruptoria; Egicoccales; Egicoccaceae.
CCGCGAGCUGCCGCAGCCAGCUGGCAGCGACCUGGUCCCAGCCCAGGUGCUCGGCCACGUGACGACGGGCCCGCUGUCCCACGGCGGCGGCCUGCGGU